UCCCGUUUAGCUCAGCUGGUAGAGCGCGUCACUAGUACCUUACGCAGGUCAAAUGACGAGGUCAGUCGUUCAAGUCGGCUAAUGGGAA
Non-coding RNA from Dentipellis sp. KUC8613, 88 nucleotides. The record is from the annotation of a GenBank genome assembly. NCBI's taxonomy places the organism in Eukaryota, Fungi, Basidiomycota, Agaricomycetes, Russulales, Hericiaceae.